GGGGGGGGUGCGCAUAACACACACAAGUAGAGCGGUCAGAAGAGAGCUUGUUCUUGGAAGUUAGCGGCGGACGGGUGAGUAACACGUGGGCAACCUGCCUGUAAGACUGGGAUAACUCCGGGAAACCGGAGCUAAUACCGGAUAGUUCAUUGCUUCGCAUGGUUCAAGGAUGAAAGACGGUUUCGGCUGUCACUUCCAGAUGGACCCGCGGCGCAUUAGCUAGUUGGUGAGGUAAUGGCUCACCAAGGCGACGAUGCGUAGCCGACCUGAGAGGGUGAUCGGCCACACUGGGACUGAGACACGGCCCAGACUCCUACGGGAGGCAGCAGUAGGGAAUCUUCCGCAAUGGACGAAAGUCUGACGGAGCAACGCCGCGUGAGUGAAGAAGGUUUUCGGAUCGUAAAGCUCUGUUGUUAGGGAAGAACAAGUGCGAGAGUAACUGCUCGCACCUUGACGGUACCUCACCAGAAAGCCACGGCUAACUACGUGCCAGCAGCCGCGGUAAUACGUAGGUGGCAAGCGUUGUCCGGAAUUAUUGGGCGUAAAGGGCUCGCAGGCGGUCUUUUAAGUCUGAUGUGAAAGCCCCCGGCUCAACCGGGGAGGGUCAUUGGAAACUGGGGAACUUGAGUGCAGAAGAGGAAAGUGGAAUUCCAAGUGUAGCGGUGAAAUGCGUAGAGAUGUGGAGGAACACCAGUGGCGAAGGCGACUUUCUGGUCUGUAACUGACGCUGAGGAGCGAAAGCGUGGGGAGCGAACAGGAUUAGAUACCCUGGUAGUCCACGCCGUAAACGAUGAGUGCUAAGUGUUAGGGGGUUUCCGCCCCUUAGUGCUGCAGCUAACGCAUAAGCU
This 848-nucleotide ribosomal RNA is filed under the name Bacillus safensis. Its description in RNAcentral is "bacterial SSU rRNA". It matches the Rfam family "Bacterial small subunit ribosomal RNA", at positions 35 to 866 of the family's 1533-position model. Lineage: Bacteria; Bacillati; Bacillota; Bacilli; Caryophanales; Bacillaceae. The record is from RNAcentral.